CAAUACUGAUAAUAAAUCCCUUAUAAACAAAAUACUAAGUUGUACACUCAGUUGUUUUGCCAUUUGCUUCAAACGCGUGACAGACAUAUAUUUUGGGCAAGUUUUUUGAGACUGACUUUGAGCUGGAUAUUUUUGUUAGACCUGGCAACCCUGAUAAUGGCGUGGACCAAAACUCUUCAGCUAUUACCACGUUUUACUGUGAACCAUGUAGAAAAAUGGACUGAAGAGGGAAGCCGAAUAUUAAGAGCAGUUUUGUGAAAAGGAUACAAUAACUGGAUAGAGGGGUACAUUACUAAUAUUGAAGUUUUCCUGAUGUAACGGCCAAAAAAAUGAAACCCACCUAUGACGCAGCCUUGACUUUGCCAUACAGAUACAGACGAAGUGAUUGCAGUGUUUCAAAGGAUGAAAGCUGAAGGGUCAGGACUCCCCCUAUCACUAGUGAUGCCCCAACACCAGGAGAGUGAAGACAAGCACAUGCCUCCUCCACACCUUUUUGAACUGCUGCUGAUGCAGCAUUGCUGAGUAGAAUCACAGCACACUCGGAGGAAAGUGCAGCAACUCGGUUUUGAUACAUCAGCUCACAGACGCCUUGUUCUGAUCGACAUCACCCUUUGGAAUGAUGUGGGGAAAGAGCGCCAUCUACCCAAGUUUGCUCUCUUAGCUACAUGAACAGGAUUCGAACCGUCAAUAUCCUGAUCAUAGUGGCAAGGAUGUUAAAUUUAAGCACUGCUUCAGAAAUAAAACAUCCUAUCCAUUUGGCCACUAUCAGACAUCACUUUAAAUCCUAAAGUUCUCACUGUUUGCUAUGAGCAUGCUUUGCUUUCCAGCAUUCCACCUUCUUCACAAGAUAAAACCUUAUACAGGUUCUUGAAAUGUCCCCUAAGGUUUUACUUUACAAUCAAGUUAUAUACUGCUAUCACAUGAAAUUUGGCAUGUCAGUUAUAGAACCCUUUUUUUAGGCUUAUUAUCAACGAAAGGUUUUCCAUUACAAAGCAAAAUGUUAGCAUUUAGGGUCUUUCAUUUGUCACAGUUCUAUGGAAACACGAAAUUUGCUGAAAACCCAUUGAAGAACUUCUCAUUUUUUAGACUAAUAAAUAAUGUGAUCAGACUGUAGGUGGUUAGGUAAGAAGAUAAGCAUAUUGAUUUAUGUGAAAUAUUGUCUCUGUGCAAACUGUAAUUAAAUGAAAUGGACAAAACCGAUACUGCACCCGCGAGAAAUGAGCCAAGCCAUCCAGCGCGUCAGUUGACAGAACAUUGUUAUGCUCUUUUAAUCAGAUCAUCGCCCCGAGGGACCACACA
Molecule: long non-coding RNA, 1299 nt
Organism: Astyanax mexicanus (Mexican tetra)
Lineage: Eukaryota; Metazoa; Chordata; Actinopteri; Characiformes; Acestrorhamphidae
Exons: 3
Source: RefSeq, a predicted model, not a curated record